This 2849-nucleotide ribosomal RNA is filed under the name Escherichia coli. RNAcentral's name for it is "bacterial LSU rRNA". It matches the Rfam family "Bacterial large subunit ribosomal RNA". Lineage: Bacteria; Pseudomonadati; Pseudomonadota; Gammaproteobacteria; Enterobacterales; Enterobacteriaceae. The record is from RNAcentral.
UUAAGCGACUAAGCGUACACGGUGGAUGCCCUGGCAGUCAGAGGCGAUGAAGGACGUGCUAAUCUGCGAUAAGCGUCGGUAAGGUGAUAUGAACCGUUAUAACCGGCGAUUUCCGAAUGGGGAAACCCAGUGUGAUUCGUCACACUAUCAUUAACUGAAUCCAUAGGUUAAUGAGGCGAACCGGGGGAACUGAAACAUCUAAGUACCCCGAGGAAAAGAAAUCAACCGAGAUUCCCCCAGUAGCGGCGAGCGAACGGGGAGCAGCCCAGAGCCUGAAUCAGUGUGUGUGUUAGUGGAAGCGUCUGGAAAGGCGCGCGAUACAGGGUGACAGCCCCGUACACAAAAAUGCACAUNCUGUGAGCUCGAUGAGUAGGGCGGGACACGUGGUAUCCUGUCUGAAUAUGGGGGGACCAUCCUCCAAGGCUAAAUACUCCUGACUGACCGAUAGUGAACCAGUACCGUGAGGGAAAGGCGAAAAGAACCCCGGCGAGGGGAGUGAAAAAGAACCUGAAACCGUGUACGUACAAGCAGUGGGAGCACAGAGCAAUCUGUGUGACUGCGUACCUUUUGUAUAAUGGGUCAGCGACUUAUAUUCUGUAGCAAGGUUAACCGAAUAGGGGAGCCGAAGGGAAACCGAGUCUUAACUGGGCGUUAAGUUGCAGGGUAUAGACCCGAAACCCGGUGAUCUAGCCAUGGGCAGGUUGAAGGUUGGGUAACACUAACUGGAGGACCGAACCGACUAAUGUUGAAAAAUUAGCGGAUGACUUGUGGCUGGGGGUGAAAGGCCAAUCAAACCGGGAGAUAGCUGGUUCUCCCCGAAAGCUAUUUAGGUAGCGCCUCGUGAAUUCAUCUCCGGGGGUAGAGCACUGUUUCGGCAAGGGGGUCAUCCCGACUUACCAACCCGAUGCAAACUGCGAAUACCGGAGAAUGUUAUCACGGGAGACACACGGCGGGUGCUAACGUCCGUCGUGAAGAGGGAAACAACCCAGACCGCCAGCUAAGGUCCCAAAGUCAUGGUUAAGUGGGAAACGAUGUGGGAAGGCCCAGACAGCCAGGAUGUUGGCUUAGAAGCAGCCAUCAUUUAAAGAAAGCGUAAUAGCUCACUGGUCGAGUCGGCCUGCGCGGAAGAUGUAACGGGGCUAAACCAUGCACCGAAGCUGCGGCAGCGACGCUNAUGCUGGAGGUAUCAGAAGUGCGAAUGCUGACAUAAGUAACGAUAAAGCGGGUGAAAAGCCCGCUCGCCGGAAGACCAAGGGUUCCUGUCCAACGUUAAUCGGGGCAGGGUGAGUCGACCCCUAAGGCGAGGCCGAAAGGCGUAGUCGAUGGGAAACAGGUUAAUAUUCCUGUACUUGGUGUUACUGCGAAGGGGGGACGGAGAAGGCUAUGUUGGCCGGGCGACGGUUGUCCCGGUUUAAGCGUGUAGGCUGGUUUUCCAGGCAAAUCCGGAAAAUCAAGGCUGAGGCGUGAUGACGAGGCACUACGGUGCUGAAGCAACAAAUGCCCUGCUUCCAGGAAAAGCCUCUAAGCAUCAGGUAACAUCAAAUCGUACCCCAAACCGACACAGGUGGUCAGGUAGAGAAUACCAAGGCGCUUGAGAGAACUCGGGUGAAGGAACUAGGCAAAAUGGUGCCGUAACUUCGGGAGAAGGCACGCUGAUAUGUAGGUGAAGUCCCUCGCGGAUGGAGCUGAAAUCAGUCGAAGAUACCAGCUGGCUGCAACUGUUUAUUAAAAACACAGCACUGUGCAAACACGAAAGUGGACGUAUACGGUGUGACGCCUGCCCGGUGCCGGAAGGUUAAUUGAUGGGGUUAGCGCAAGCGAAGCUCUUGAUCGAAGCCCCGGUAAACGGCGGCCGUAACUAUAACGGUCCUAAGGUAGCGAAAUUCCUUGUCGGGUAAGUUCCGACCUGCACGAAUGGCGUAAUGAUGGCCAGGCUGUCUCCACCCGAGACUCAGUGAAAUUGAACUCGCUGUGAAGAUGCAGUGUACCCGCGGCAAGACGGAAAGACCCCGUGAACCUUUACUAUAGCUUGACACUGAACAUUGAGCCUUGAUGUGUAGGAUAGGUGGGAGGCUUUGAAGUGUGGACGCCAGUCUGCAUGGAGCCGACCUUGAAAUACCACCCUUUAAUGUUUGAUGUUCUAACGUUGACCCGUAAUCCGGGUUGCGGACAGUGUCUGGUGGGUAGUUUGACUGGGGCGGUCUCCUCCUAAAGAGUAACGGAGGAGCACGAAGGUUGGCUAAUCCUGGUCGGACAUCAGGAGGUUAGUGCAAUGGCAUAAGCCAGCUUGACUGCGAGCGUGACGGCGCGAGCAGGUGCGAAAGCAGGUCAUAGUGAUCCGGUGGUUCUGAAUGGAAGGGCCAUCGCUCAACGGAUAAAAGGUACUCCGGGGAUAACAGGCUGAUACCGCCCAAGAGUUCAUAUCGACGGCGGUGUUUGGCACCUCGAUGUCGGCUCAUCACAUCCUGGGGCUGAAGUAGGUCCCAAGGGUAUGGCUGUUCGCCAUUUAAAGUGGUACGCGAGCUGGGUUUAGAACGUCGUGAGACAGUUCGGUCCCUAUCUGCCGUGGGCGCUGGAGAAUUGAGGGGGGCUGCUCCUAGUACGAGAGGACCGGAGUGGACGCAUCACUGGUGUUCGGGUUGUCAUGCCAAUGGCACUGCCCGGUAGCUAAAUGCGGAAGAGAUAAGUGCUGAAAGCAUCUAAGCACGAAACUUGCCCCGAGAUGAGUUCUCCCUGACUCCUUGAGAGUCCUGAAGGAACGUUGAAGACGACGACGUUGAUAGGCCGGGUGUGUAAGCGCAGCGAUGCGUUGAGCUAACCGGUACUAAUGAACCGUGAGGCUUAACCUU